UACGAAGGGGGCGAGCGUUGUUCGGAAUUACUGGGCGUAAAGGGCGCGUAGGCGGCCGAUCAAGUCAGAUGUGAAAGUCCUGGGCUUAACCUGGGGACUGCAUUUGAUACUGAUUGGCUUGAAUUCGGGAGAGGAUAGCGGAAUUCCCAGUGUAGAGGUGAAAUUCGUAGAUAUUGGGAAGAACACCGGUGGCGAAGGCGGGAUCCUGGGCCAGUACUGACGCUGAGGAGCGAAAGCGUGGGGAGCAAACAGG
This 253-nucleotide ribosomal RNA is filed under the name uncultured bacterium. Its description in RNAcentral is "partial 16S ribosomal RNA". It matches the Rfam family "Bacterial small subunit ribosomal RNA", at positions 524 to 776 of the family's 1533-position model. The record is from RNAcentral.